UCGCCGUGUGCCAGAAGCUCACACUCAGCGGGGAAAAGGGCUUUUCUUUCACUCUGUUAAAAGAUUGAAAAUCAAACUGACGGGUUGAGGUUAUUUAAAGGAAAGGAAACUUCAUUUUAGAAGGAGUGUUAAUAAAACAUGUGAGCCGUGGGAUCGUCUCGGUGUAGGCACCUCUGAGUGUGUUCAAAGUUGCAUGAGAAAGAAAAAAUCCCGCUCUGCCUUCAGAACGUUGACGCCUUCGUCAUCAGGUGCUUCAACUCUUCUUCAACCGAGGCUUCAGCUGCCGACGCGCCGAUGCUGCAACAACGUCGCCUCAAGAGCGAUGCCUGAAGCAACAACACCUUGAAGGCAACGCUGGCGCCUGAACGCCUCACGCGGUGCAGAAGGUUCCUAACGAACAGAAAAGACGGCGGGAGACCGUCAGCCGGGGGGCUCACAACGAAAUGUGACGGUGUGAGGAAGCAGAACCGGUUCCCAGAUUGUGGACUAAGGUGGUUGAAGUGCUGGAGCCAAACCCCCAAAACCCAGAGCGUCCUGCAGAACCAACAGAAGCAGCUGGAUGGAGAGAAAGUCAAAGUGCGUCCGACGCUUCUCCUUCAGAUGGCGAGUGGAGGGGGAGGAGAGGAGGACGAGUCCUGGUGGGAGGAGGGAUGGUUCUCCUGCGUGGUUGACUCAAGCCAGACAUUAGGGGGCAGGAUGAGGG
Gasterosteus aculeatus aculeatus (three-spined stickleback) is the source of this 703-nucleotide long non-coding RNA. NCBI's taxonomy places the organism in Eukaryota, Metazoa, Chordata, Actinopteri, Perciformes, Gasterosteidae. The record is from Ensembl.